GCCUGGCUGGCUCAGUCGGUGGAGCAGGUGACUACUGAACUCAGGGUUGUGAGUUCGAGCCCCAUGCCGGGCU
RNAcentral lists this transfer RNA (73 nucleotides) under Felis catus (domestic cat). It matches the Rfam family "tRNA". Rfam says of the family: Transfer RNA (tRNA) molecules are approximately 80 nucleotides in length. Lineage: Eukaryota; Metazoa; Chordata; Mammalia; Carnivora; Felidae. The record is from Rfam by way of RNAcentral.